Molecule: ribosomal RNA, 1252 nt
Filed under: metagenome
Description: SSU rRNA
Rfam family: Eukaryotic small subunit ribosomal RNA
Source: RNAcentral
AAUCCCUUAACGAGGAACAAUUGGAGGGCAAGUCUGGUGCCAGCAGCCGCGGUAAUUCCAGCUCCAAUAGCGUAUAUUAAAGUUGUUGCAGUUAAAAAGCUCGUAGUUGGAUUUCUGGUAUGGUGCGCCUGGCCCACGGUUGCAAAACCGCGAGUGUCGGUGUGCGCCUGCCAUCUUUCUAGUUAACUGGACGCACUUAACUGGGCGGUCAGCGAUCUAGUUCUUUUACUUUGAAAAAAUUAGAGUGUUUAAAGCAGGCUUGCGCUAUGAAUACAUCAGCAUGGAAUAAUAAUUUAGGACUUUACGCCUAUUUUAUUGGUUUCUAGGAGUGAAGUAAUGAUUGAUAGGGAUAGUUGGGGGUGCUAGUAUUCAUCGGCCAGAGGUGAAAUUCUUGGAUUCGAUGAAGACUAACUAAUGCGAAAGCAUUCACCAAGGAUGUCUUCUUUAAUCAAGAACGAAAGUUGGGGGAUCGAAGACGAUCAGAUACCGUCGUAGUCUCAACCAUAAACUAUACCGACUAGGGAUAAGGGGAAGUUGCUUUUUCGACUUCCUUUGCACCUUAUGAGAAAUCAGAAGUCUUUGGGUUCUGGGGGGAGUAUGGUCGCAAGGCUGAAACUUAAAGGAAUUGACGGAAGGGCACCACCAGGAGUGGAGCCUGCGGCUUAAUUUGACCCAACACGGGGAAACUUACCAGGUCCGGACAUAGUGAGGAUUGACAGAUUGAAGUUCUUUCUUGAUUCUAUGGGUGGUGGUGCAUGGCCGUUCUUAGUUGGUGGAGUGAUUUGUCUGCUUAAUUGCGUUAACGAACGAGACCUCGACCUACUAAAUAGUACAGCGUAAGCUUUGCUUAUGCGUGCACUUCUUAGAGGGACUGUUGGUUCAAAGCCAAAGGAAGUUCGAGGCAAUAACAGGUCUGUGAUGCCCUUAGAUGUUCUGGGCCGCACGCUCGCUACACUGAUACGCGCAUCGAGCUUACAACCUUGGCUGGGAGGCCUGGGUAAUCUUUUCAAAGCGUAUCGUGCUGGGGAUAGAUUAUUGUAAUUAUUAAUCUUCAACGAGGAAUUCCUAGUAAGCGCGAGUCAUCAACUCGCACUGAUUACGUCCCUGCCCUUUGUACACACCGCCCGUCGCUGCUACCGAUUGAAUGCAUUAGUGAGCCUCGAGGAUCGUCUUUUCUGAGGGUAAAACUUCGGUCUAGAUGAGAAUCGCUGCAAACUUGCGCAUUUAGAGGAAGCAAAAGUCGUAACAAGGU